GAUGAACGCUGGCGGCGUGCCUAAUACAUGCAAGUCGAGCGAACAGACGAGGAGCUUGCUCCUCUGACGUUAGCGGCGGACGGGUGAGUAACACGUGGAUAACCUACCUAUAAGACUGGGAUAACUUCGGGAAACCGGAGCUAAUACCGGAUAAUAUAUUGAACCGCAUGGUUCAAUAGUAAAAGACGGUUUUGCUGUCACUUAUAGAUGGAUCCGCGCCGCAUUAGCUAGUUGGUAAGGUAACGGCUUACCAAGGCAACGAUGCGUAGCCGACCUGAGAGGGUGAUCGGCCACACUGGAACUGAGACACGGUCCAGACUCCUACGGGAGGCAGCAGUAGGGAAUCUUCCGCAAUGGGCGAAAGCUUGACGGAGCAACGCCGCGUGAGUGAUGAAGGUCUUCGGAUCGUAAAACUCUGUUACUAGGGAAGAACAAAUGUGUAAGUAACUAUGCACGUCUUGACGGUACCUAAUCAGAAAGCCACGGCUAACUACGUG
This 497-nucleotide ribosomal RNA is filed under the name uncultured bacterium. Its description in RNAcentral is "partial 16S ribosomal RNA". It matches the Rfam family "Bacterial small subunit ribosomal RNA", at positions 28 to 507 of the family's 1533-position model. The record is from RNAcentral.